RNAcentral lists this ribosomal RNA (463 nucleotides) under uncultured bacterium. RNAcentral describes it as "partial 16S ribosomal RNA". It matches the Rfam family "Bacterial small subunit ribosomal RNA", at positions 28 to 507 of the family's 1533-position model. The record is from RNAcentral.
GACGAACGCUGGCGGCGUGCUUAACACAUGCCAGUCGAACGGAAAGGCCUUUUCGGAGGUACUCGAGUGGCGAACGGGUGAGUAACACGUGGGUGAUCUGCCCUGCACUCUGGGAUAAGCCUGGGAAACUGGGUCUAAUACCGGAUAGGACCGCACUUUAGUGUGUGUGGUGGAAAGUUGUUUCGGUGUAGGAUGAGCCCGCGGCCUAUCAGCUUGUUGGUGGGGUAAUGGCCUACCAAGGCGGCGACGGGUAGCCGGACUGAGAGGUUGGUCGGCCACAUUGGGACUGAGAUACGGCCCAGACUCCUACGGGAGGCAGCAGUGGGGAAUAUUGCACAAUGGGCGCAAGCCUGAUGCAGCGACGCCGCGUGGGGGAUGACGGCCUUCGGGUUGUAAACUCCUUUCGCCAGGGACGAAGCGUUUUGUGACGGUACCUGGAGAAGAAGCACCGGCUAACUACGUG